RNAcentral lists this ribosomal RNA (253 nucleotides) under uncultured bacterium. Its description in RNAcentral is "partial 16S ribosomal RNA". It matches the Rfam family "Bacterial small subunit ribosomal RNA", at positions 524 to 776 of the family's 1533-position model. The record is from RNAcentral.
UACGGAGGGUGCAAGCGUUGUCCGGAUUUAUUGGGUUUAAAGGGUGCGUAGGCGGCCCGGUAAGUCAGUGGUGAAAGCCUCCAGCUCAACUGGAGAAUUGCCAUUGAUACUGCCGGGCUUGAGUACAGACGAGGUUGGCGGAAUUGAUUGUGUAGCGGUGAAAUGCAUAGAUACAAUCAAGAACUCCGAUUGCGUAGGCAGCUAACUAGGCUGUAACUGACGCUGAGGCACGAAAGCGUGGGGAGCGAACAGG